GACGAACGCUGGCGGCGUGCUUAACACAUGCAAGUCGAACGGAAAGGCCCUUCUGGUGGUGGGUGCGCGACUGACGAACGGGUGAGUAGCAAGUGAGUAGCCUACCCUUUACUUUGGGAUCACUUCAGGAAACUGGGGCUAAUACCGUAUAGGAGCUCCGGCUGGAUGGGGGGGGUUGGAAAGGUUCGGCGGUUGGGGAUGGACUCGCGGCUUAUCAGCUUGUGGGUGGGGUGGUGGCUUACGAAGGCUUUGACGGGUGGCCGGCCUGGGUGGGUGACCGGCAAAAUUGGGCCUGAGAUCCGCCCCGGCCCCCUCCGGGAGGCAGAAGUGGGGAAUAUUCAACAAUGGCGGGAACCCUAUUGAACAAACGCCGCGUCGGGGAUGACGGCCUUCGGGUUGUAACCCGCUUCAGCAUGUGCCGAAGCGUGAGUGACGGUAAUGGGUAAAGAAGCACCGGCUAACUACGUG
Molecule: ribosomal RNA, 468 nt
Filed under: uncultured bacterium
Lineage: Bacteria
Description: partial 16S ribosomal RNA
Rfam family: Bacterial small subunit ribosomal RNA
Source: RNAcentral